GAUGAAGAACGCAGCGAAAUGCGAUAAGUAGUGUGAAUUGCAGAAUUCAGUGAAUCAUCGAAUCUUUGAACGCACAUUGCGCCCCAUGGUAUUCCGUGGGGCAUGCCUGUUCGAGCGUCAUUAUCACCCCUCAAGCCCUCGGCUUGGUGUUGGACGGUUUGGUGGAGGCCCCCUCGGGGGCUCCUGCCCCUCCCAAAGACAAUGACGGCGGCCUCGUUGGACCCCCGGUACACUGAGUUCUUCACGGGACACGUAUCGGACACAUGGGUUUACGGGACACGGUCUGCCUCCCCUCAGGGAGAAUCUUUCUAAGGUUGACCUCGGAUCAGGUAGGGAUACCCGCUGAACUUAAGCAUAUCAAUAAGCGGAGGA
This 372-nucleotide unclassified non-coding RNA is filed under the name soil metagenome. Its description in RNAcentral is "partial contains 5.8S ribosomal RNA, internal transcribed spacer 2, and large subunit ribosomal RNA". The stretch from base 1 to 120 matches the Rfam family "5.8S ribosomal RNA", at positions 35 to 154 of the family's 154-position model. The record is from RNAcentral.